GUCUUCUGCGUCGCUCAUGCUGGGAGCUGUAGACCGGAGCUGUUCCUAUUCGGCCAUCUUGGCUCCUCCUACGUUUCAUAAAUUUCUAAGAUCAGCAAUGUGGGAGACAGGAGCUUCACCUUCAGGCUGGAUUCCAUGAUGGAGAAAACACAUGGAGCAGACCAGCAGUUAUUUGCAGCUAUCAUGUGAGCUGCUACGACUCCCUAGCCUUAAUCCAGCCCAGAUCUCAGCAGAAACUUAACACCACUCUGGUGACCCUGGAAUUGCAGCAGAGGCUCAAAUCACCAAAUAAGUGGGAAACAGUCUUCCAAGGCUACUUGCUAUACAAACAUCCUUGAAAGAUAGCCCAGAAGAAAGGACAGCCAGUGCCUCUGCUCACAACACAUGCAAAAAUGGUUACAGCCAGGAUUGAGAACCCCUAGCCUGUGCAAUGGAAUAUGCUGCCAUGUCUCCCUAUUCCUUGGGACACAACUGUAUUGAAAUUAGACCAACUAAUACUUCUACAAAGACUUCUGAGUGUUGAAGUGAAAGGAAGAGUUGCACGUCUCUUAUUUUAAAUCAAAAGCUAGACAUGAUGAAGCUUAGUGAGAAAGGUCUGUAGAAAGAUAAGAUGGGCCAAAAGCUAGGCCUCUUGCAUCAGCUAACUGUGGUGUGAAUGCAAAGGAAAAGCUUUUGAGGAAAAUGAAAAUUCUACUCCAGUGAACACACAAAUGACCAGAAAGCAUAACAGCCUUAUUGCUGAAAAGAAGAAAGUUUGAGUGGUUUGGAUAGAGAAUCAAACCAGCCCCAACAUUCCCCUAAGCCAAAGCCUAAUUCAGAGGAAAGUUCUAACUCUUUUCAAUUCUGUGAAGGCUGAGAGAGGUGAGGAAACAGCAGGAGAAAAGUUUAAAGCCACCAGAGGUUGGCUUAUGAGGUUUAAGGAAAUAAAGCAACCAUCUCCAUAACAUAAAAGUGCAAGUGGAGAAGCAAGUGCUUAUGAAGAAGCUGAAGCAAGUCAUCCAGAAGAUCUAGCUAAGAUAAUUGAUGAAGGUGGCUACACUACACAACAUGUGUUAACAGCCUUCUACUGAAAGAAGAUGCCAUCUAAGACUUUCGUAGCUACAGAGAAGUCAAUACCUGGCUUCAAAGCUUCAAAGAACAGGCUGACUCUCUCAUUAGGGGCUAAUGCAGCUGGUCACUUGAAGUUGAAACCAAUGCUCAUUAACCAGUCUGAAAGUCCUUGGGCCCUUAAGAAUUAUGCUAAACCUACUCUGCCUGUGCCCUAUAAAUGAAACAACAAAGCCUGAUGAAAGCGCUCCUGUUUAUACUAUGGUUUACUGAAUAUUUUAAGCCCACUGUUGAGACCUACUGCUUCAAAAAAAAGAUUCCUUUCUAAAUAUUACUGCUCAUUGACAAUGAAGCUGGUAACCCAAGAGCUCUGACGGAAAUAUACAAGAAGAUUAAUGUUGUUUUCAUGCCUGCAAACAAAUCAUCCAUUUUGUAGCACACAGAUAAAGGAGUAAUUUUUACUUUCAAGUCUUAUUAUUUAAGAAAAACACUUCAUAAGGCUACAACUGCCAUAGUGACAUUUAUGAUGGAUCUGAGCAAAGUACAUUGAAAAUCUUCUGGAAAGGAUGCACCAUUCUAGAUGUCCUUAAGAACAUUUGUGAUUCACGGGAAGAGAUCAAAAUAUCAACACUAACAGGAAUUUAAAGGAGGUUAAUUCCAACUCUCAUGGAAGACUUUGAGGCAUUCAAGGUUUCAGUGGAGGAAGUUCCUAUAGAUGUAGUGGGCAGAGUGAGAAAAGUAGAAUCAGAAGUGGAGCCUGAGUACAUAACUGAAUCUCAGGAUAAAAUUUGAACAAAUGAGGAGUUGCUUCUUAUGGAUAGGCCAAGAAAGAGGUUUCUUGAGAUAGAAUCCACUCCUGGUGAAGAUGCUGUGAACAUUUUUGAAAUGACAACACACAAAAAUAGAAUAUUUUCUAAACUUAGUUGAUGAGACAGCAUCAGAAUUUGAAAGGUUCGACUCUAGUUUUGAAAGGUUCUGCUGUGGGUAAGAUGCUAUCAAACAGCAUCACAUGCUACAGAGAAAUGGUUGGUAAAAGGAAGAGUCAAUGGAUGCACCAAACUUUCCUGUUUUAUUUUAAGAAAUAACCACAACUAACUCAACCUUCAGUAACCACCACCUGAUCAUUCAGCAGCAGCCAUCAACCUUGAGGGAAGACCUUCUAGCAACAAAAAGAUUAAGACUCUGAAGGGUCAGAUGAGCAGUAGCUUUUUUUUUUUAGUAAUAAAGUAAAGUAUUUUUAAAUUAAGUUAUGAACAUUGGGAAUUUUUCACAUAAUGCUAUUAUUCAUACACACAACUUUUAUAUGCCCUGGGAAACCAAAGAAUUUGUGUGACUUACUUUAUUGUAGUGGUCUGGAACCAAAUCCACAAUAUCUUUGAAGUAUGCCUGUAUAUGUGUGUGUGUAUAUAUAUAUAUGUGUGUGUGUGUAUAUAUAUGUAUAUAUAUUACAUGCAUACACAUAGAUUAACAUUUUAAAAGUACAUAUACUUUAUAUGCAUAUGUAUAUAUGUGUGUGUACAUAUAUACAUAUGUACACACACAUAUAUACAUAUGUAUGUGUACAUAUGUAUAUAUGUAUGUGUACAUACAUAUAUACAUAUGCAUAUAUACAUAUGCAUAUAAAGUAUAUGUACUUUUAAAAUGUUAAUCUAUGUGUAUGCAUGUAAUAUAUAUGUACACAUGUAUAUAUGUAUAUAUGUGUGUGUACAUAUGUAUAUAUGUACACACACAUAUAUACAUAUGCAUAUAAAGUAUAUGUACUUUUAAAAUGUUAAUCUAUGUGUAUGCAUGUAAUAUAUAUACAUAUGUAUAUAGGCACACACAGACAUAUGCAUACAUACACAUAUAUAGCAGGGUCCUAAAAUAUAUAUAGCUAUAUAUACACAUAUAUAGCAGGGUCCUAAAAUAUAUGUAGCUAUGUAUACACAUAUAUAGCAGGGUCCUAAAAAUCUGUGACCAUGCAGUUAUCAUCUCCAGGAAAUUAUUAUGAGUCUAUUUCAAUUACGAUACAAAUCUCUUCCCUAGUAAAUACAGUGCAGCCUAUAAACAUAGACAUUUGGGAAUAGAGAUACUUUCUUUCAAUGAAAUAACAUUACAUUCCUUGCAAACUUAGAUUAUUUUCAAAAGACUGACCAAAAUGUAUUUUUGGAAAGAAAGAGAAUAAGACAAAAAAAAAAAAAAAAAACCAUAGCAAAAUUUCAGGAUAAAAAAAUGCUGCUCAAAUUAGCUUUUCUCACAAAAUGCUGCACCACAUAGUGAUAUUUAGUCCCAAAGAGGCAGUAGUUUUUCACCAUAGGCCUUCUGUCCCUGUGGACUGCCCUUUCUAUGGCUCCCACCCACUCCCCUUUUGUAUCUGUAAUCACUGUGUUGAACAUGGAUGGCACUGAUAACAUUUUGCAUUCCAUUUUCUUCCUCUUAGUCUUGUGUUAUUCAGAUGCACUGACCCCAUAAAAUGUUAUGAGGUAAAAGCUACUCUCAUGACCUGUAGAAAUGAAUGUCACUUUCUAAGGUAUCAGGGAAGAUUUGAGUCCUGGGAGAAUAUGCUGCUCUCCCUAAUGGCAAUUCAUGUAUCACUUUGAUGCUCAAAAAGUAACGACGCUGUCUCUUCCCCAAAGAAGAAUGAAGCAUAUGUGAAGCCAUCGUUUUCUUCACAAGGUCAGAGAACAAAGUACUUCGAAGCCAAAUGAGGAAAUUGGGGCGUGAAGAUAACUAUUUUAGAAUAUUUCUGGAAAUAUGGUAACCAGUCAAGACAGCAUUUAUUUUAAAGUGUGGUGUUAUAAUUUUGCACAGAAAUUUUUUAUGAGAAUAUUUUUGUCACUUUCAGAGAGAUCUAUUAUGAUAUGCAGGGCUGAAGGGAACAUGUUGACAUGUCUGAGAGCUAAAACAAACGUGAAGAAUGAAGCUGAAAAUAACCAGCUGUGAAGAAAGCAUUACAAAGCGCUGGGUGGCACUCAGCAUUGUACAUCUAGAAUUCAGAGAUGUGUUAGGAGAAUGCAAUAACAUGGCACUCGUAGCAAGCUUUUCCAAGAAGAAAUUAAGAAGGGCACAUCAUUUGCUAUUAUAGACUAAGGUAAUUGGUAUCUACGUAUCUGUGCUCUUCUGCUGCCAAUAGGGAUAUGCAUGAAAAAGAUGCAGCUGCACCUCUCUUUGCACAGUGGAUUCCCGAAAAUCUCUGUGCAAAUAAAUCCCAUUAUAAAACCAGAAAUGAUUCAUCUUUUCUGAUUGAUCUUCAAUAUAAAUGGUUCUUAACAUUUAACCUUUAAGAUCCUUUGUCUGAGCCACAUGGGGUUCAACUUCCUUCUCUAUACUACUGGCUCCUAAAUAUUAGUUCUUAAUGAAGUGUUCACCAUGCUCUUGUGAAAUAAGAAAAUGAAGGGAAAUGAAGUAACAUUUUGGGAGAUAAAUGUAUUCAAAUUAAAUGGCCUUGUUUAAUUCUGAGAUUAUGCCAUUAUGUUUUCCCUUUUUGAUGUUAAAAAGACCUUUUCUUUUAUGAAAUCAUGCUAACAGUAGAUGUUCAUUUAUAGUGUGUUGCUUAUAAUUUUACUGGUUUCUGAAAUCUAAAACUAUUUGUAUCUCAAUAUGCAACCAUACAAAACAUCUCAAGCCAACCUCUGCCAAGAGUUAAUGCAUUUUUCAACAAACGAAUAAAUAUAGAACUUACUUUAUAAAGAAAAUAUCCCAGGCUUCAUCUUAUAAUGCAAAGAGGUGUUAUCUAGCUAUUCUGGGUUUUGACACUGGAUGUUACAUAUUUCUCUUCCUUUCAUCAAAUUCAUCGAACUGGUUAUAU
RNAcentral lists this long non-coding RNA (4834 nucleotides) under Homo sapiens (human). RNAcentral's name for it is "HSALNT0009553". The stretch from base 1857 to 1922 matches the Rfam family "mir-1255 microRNA precursor family". Lineage: Eukaryota; Metazoa; Chordata; Mammalia; Primates; Hominidae. The record is from RNAcentral.